UACGUAGGGGGCAAGCGUUGUCCGGAUUUAUUGGGCGUAAAGAGCGUGUAGGCGGCCAUACAGGUCCGUUGUGAAAACUGGAGGCUUAACCUCCAGACGUCGAUGGAAACCGUAUGGCUAGAGUCCGGAAGAGGAGAGUGGAAUUCCUGGUGUAGCGGUGAAAUGCGCAGAUAUCAGGAAGAACACCGGUGGCGAAGGCGGGUCUCUGGGCCGUAACUGACGCUGAGGAGCGAAAGCAUGGGGAGCGAACAGG
RNAcentral lists this ribosomal RNA (253 nucleotides) under uncultured bacterium. Its description in RNAcentral is "partial 16S ribosomal RNA". It matches the Rfam family "Bacterial small subunit ribosomal RNA", at positions 524 to 776 of the family's 1533-position model. The record is from RNAcentral.